UACAGAGGUCUCAAGCGUUGUUCGGAUUCAUUGGGCGUAAAGGGUGCGUAGGUGGCGGGGCAAGUCAGGUGUGAAAUCUCGGAGCUCAACUCCGAAACUGCACUUGAUACUGCCUUGCUGGAGUACUGGAGAGGAGAUUGGAAUUUACGGUGUAGCAGUGAAAUGCGUAGAUAUCGUAAGGAAGACCAGUGGCGAAGGCGAAUCUCUGGACAGUUACUGACACUGAGGCACGAAGGCCAGGGGAGCAAACGGG
This 253-nucleotide ribosomal RNA is filed under the name uncultured bacterium. RNAcentral's name for it is "partial 16S ribosomal RNA". It matches the Rfam family "Bacterial small subunit ribosomal RNA", at positions 524 to 776 of the family's 1533-position model. The record is from RNAcentral.